AAGCAUUCCCGUUUAGUAGAGAUGUUAUGCCAUAAAAAAAAUUUGUGGGAAGACCAAAUACAAAUCCCAGAAGACCAGACGAACAAAGGGAAUUCUCCUGUGAUAACGUUCCUGCUCAUUUUUCUUCCUCACCAUGCUGACUGACAGUAGUCCAAGGGAGGCUUCAUGCCUACAUGAAAGUUAGCAAUUAUAAACUGGCAACUUGAAGAUAUCUCCGUUCCUCUCUCCUACUCUCUUUUCUAUUCUGGAAACCAAAAUCGUCUACUUUUGAGAAGCUGUAGGUUCUUG
This 288-nucleotide unclassified non-coding RNA is filed under the name Hevea brasiliensis (rubber tree). The record is from RNAcentral. Lineage: Eukaryota; Viridiplantae; Streptophyta; Magnoliopsida; Malpighiales; Euphorbiaceae.